RNAcentral lists this ribosomal RNA (446 nucleotides) under uncultured bacterium. RNAcentral describes it as "partial 16S ribosomal RNA". It matches the Rfam family "Bacterial small subunit ribosomal RNA", at positions 338 to 795 of the family's 1533-position model. The record is from RNAcentral.
CCUACGGGUGGCAGCAGUCGAGAAUCUUUCACAAUGGGCGAAAGCCUGAUCCUGCGACGCCGCGUGAAGGAAUGAAGCUCUUUGGAUUGUAAACUUCUUUUAUAUGGGAGUAAAACAAAACGAUAGUACCUCAAUACGAAUAGUUUAUUAACUCUGUUCCAGCAGCCGCGGUAAUACAGAGGUCUCAAUCGUUGUGCGGAAUCACUUGUCGGAAAGCGUUCGUAGGCUGUGUCGCAAGUCUGGUGUGAAAGGCGCGGGCUCAACCUGCGGGUGGCACAUGAUACUGCGAGAUUUGAGUAAUGGAGGGGGAGCCGGAAUGCUUGGUGUAGCAGUGAAAUGCGGAGAUAUCGAGAGGAACACUCGUGGCGAAGGCGGGUUACUAGACAUUAACUGACGCUGAGGCACGAAGGCCAGGGGAGCGAAAGGGAUUAGAUACCCCAGUAGUC